Molecule: non-coding RNA, 105 nt
Filed under: Platyophrya macrostoma
Lineage: Eukaryota; Ciliophora; Colpodea; Cyrtolophosidida; Platyophryidae
Source: RNAcentral
GUUGCUCAUGACUUGUAUGCCACUGGGUGUACGUUCAUAGCUGGUGCUGUUGCUGGUGCAUGCAGCCGCACGUGUACUGCGCCUCUAGACCGCAUAAAGACGAUU